AAUGCUUCUUCUUGUGCUUGCUUUGGCAACUUAAACUGGAACGAUACAGAGAAGAUUAGCAUGGACCCUGCGCAAGUAUGAGACACAAAUUCAUGAAGCAUUCCAUUUUUUG
Molecule: small nuclear RNA, 112 nt
Organism: Gracilinanus agilis (Agile Gracile Mouse Opossum)
Lineage: Eukaryota; Metazoa; Chordata; Mammalia; Didelphimorphia; Didelphidae
Source: RefSeq, a predicted model, not a curated record